Molecule: long non-coding RNA, 930 nt
Organism: Sapajus apella (tufted capuchin)
Lineage: Eukaryota; Metazoa; Chordata; Mammalia; Primates; Cebidae
Exons: 2
Source: RefSeq, a predicted model, not a curated record
AAGUCCCGCCUCCUGCUGCGGUGAGGCGCUGUCAGCUGCUGUCCUAGAGCGGGGCCUGUCAGCGGGACCUCGUCCUCCUCCUUCUGACCUUUCUUCUUAGGCUGUUUGAAUCUUUAAGUCCUUGCAGUACUCAAGGCGUUUCUUAAGCUUUUUUCGCUUUGCUUCCCCUGCAAUCCCCUGUCCUCGGCUCUGGACUUCACAUCACUUUUUGUUUCUCUACUGUUUGCUGCGAGUUCCUUUCCUCUCCAGCGCCUAUGCUGGCCCUUUAAAACAACAAUAAAAACCUUGCUCUCUCAUAUUUCUUUUAGAGCUCUUCUUUUGAGCUGGAGGAAGCCUGGCUCUGCCAGAUAGUAGCUGGGUGACCUGGCAAGUCACGUCCUACUUCGGUUUUCUCAUCUGCAAAGACAGUGCCCAGCUUUAGGUUUGUGAAGAUUGAGUGAAGCCAGGAGGAGAAGCACACACCACACCUUGCACUGGAUGAAAGGGCGCAAAAGCACAAAGAUGGGUAUUCGGGUCCGCACGAUGAAGUCGAGGAAGUCCCAAAGGGCCAGGCCUCCCACCUUCCGCAGAGCCAUCUCCUUGACCUGGAGGCUCAGCCAGUACCACUGGCUUCCGAGCUGCCUCUCAAAGCAGACGAGAAUCACCUUCAGUGCUUCACACCGGGAAAAGAGAAAAGUGAGCCUGCAGAUCUGUGGUUCAGAGGAACCCAACCUACAUUCACAGCCCUUUUUGCACCUUUAUAAAUUUUCUAAACCUCUAAACUCUGUCCAUGUUUCUAAAAACUUCAUAUGUAUUCCUGAGAAAGAGCAUGCUGGACAUCGAGACAAAAAUGGGGGUGGUGUUUUGAUUCUGAUGAAGAGAACCCACAUAUUUUUCUUAAGUGCAUUGAACUACUAUUUUGGAAAAUAUAGAACAAUGUGGUCCACUGAA